Molecule: unclassified non-coding RNA, 3210 nt
Organism: Vigna unguiculata (cowpea)
Lineage: Eukaryota; Viridiplantae; Streptophyta; Magnoliopsida; Fabales; Fabaceae
Source: RefSeq, a predicted model, not a curated record
GCAUAGACAAUUAUUGAGCAAAGAUCAUCACAUGGUCUUGAUUUAAAAAAGACAAUACAGAAAAAUGAAAGAUGUUAUAAUAACUGUGUAUUUGUGUAUUGUUUAGUUAGCUACAACUAUUGGUUAUAUUUAGUGAAAAGAACAUCAAGUCUUACAGUUGCCACUACCACAAAGCUUGAGAGAGAGCUAGACUAACAUGGCAGAAACUGCAGUGUCCUUUGUGUUUCCAAAAUUUUUGGAAGCUGUAAAGAUGCUGAGAGAUCUCCCAAAAGAAGUUGAAGAACUUACUGAUGAACUAGAAAGCUUUCAAGAUUUCAUCCAUGAUGCAAAUAAAAUGGCUGAAGCUGAAGAAGAUAACAAUAGGCGCGAUAGAAUGAGAAAAAGGUUGAUGAGGCUGAGAAAAACAGCUUUUUUCAUGGAAGAUGUCAUCGAUGACUAUGUGAUAUGUGACGAAAAGCAACCUGAGGAAGAUUCUCGAUGUGCAGCUUUACUCUGUGAGGCUGUUGAGUUCAUCAAAACUCAAAUCCUUCGCCUACAAAUAGCGUAUCGUAUCGAGAAAGUUAAGUCACUUGCUCAUACGGAAAAAGAUUGGUUCGAAAACCAUUUUCCUAUAGGAUCAAGAUCAGACGGUUCUAUAUGGGAUAAUAUUCGAAUGGAGCCUCACUUUAUUAAGGAAGACGAGGUUGUUGGCCUUGAAGGCCCUAUAAAAACACUGAAAAAGUGGUUGACAGAAGGAAGAAAAGAACGCACCGUCAUCUCUAUUGUAGGAAUGGCAGGAUCGGGAAAAACCACUCUUUCUAAGCAAGUUUUUGACAAGGUCCAUAAACACUUUGAGUGCCAUGUAUUGAUCACAGUGUCUCGAUCCUAUGAUAUUGAAAAGUUGCUGAGGGAUUUGACGAACAAGAUUUGCGAAGAAAGAAAGGAGGAUCCUCCUCGUGUUGAAAGCAUGGAUCGAAUGAAGUUGAUAGAAGAAGUCAACAAGCUCUUGUGCAAGAAGAGGUAUAUUGUCUUGUUUGAUGACGUAUGGAAUGAAACAUUUUGGGAUGACAUUAAAUUUGCUCUGAUUGAUAAUAAAAAUGGAAGUAGGAUAUUAAUCACUACCCGGGUUGGGAAGGUUGUGGAUUUCUGUAAGAAUUCUUCAUUUGUUGAGGUGUAUAAGCUGCAACCUUUAAGUAAAGAAAAAUCACUGGAGUUGUUAUGUAAGAAGGCAUUUGGGUAUGGUUUUGAUGGAUGUUGUCCAAAAGAUUAUGAAGAAGUAGGUCUGGACAUUGUUAGAAAGUGUGAGUGUUUACCUUUAGCGAUUGUUGCCAUUGGUAGUCUUUUAUAUAGAAAAUGUAAAAGUCCACCUGAAUGGCGACGGUUUAGUCAAAAUCUAAGUUCGGAGUUGCAGAGCAAUUCCGAGUUACAAAGUGUAACAAAAAUUUUAAGUUUGAGUUACGAUGAUUUGCCAAAGAAUCUGAAGUCAUGUUUGUUGUAUUUCGGAAUGUAUCCCGAAGAUUAUGAAGUUAAAUGUGGCAGAUUAAUUCAGCAGUGGAUAGCUGAAGGGUUUGUAAAACAAGAUUGCCGAAGAAAUUUAGAAGAAGUUGCACAAGAACAAUUAAUGGAGUUGAUCAGUAGAAGCUUGGUACUAGUAGCAUCAUUUACCACAGAUGGCAAAGUUAAAGCAUGUCGUGUUCAUGACUCAAUACAUGAAAUGAUCCGUGAAAAGAUGAAGAAUACGGGGUUUUGUCACUAUAUUGAUGAGCAUAAUGAUUUUGAGUCAAGUGAUAUCAUUCGACGCUUAACAAUAGCAACAAGUUCCAAAUGUUUAAGUGAAUGUAGGGAAGAAUCACAUGUUCGGUCAAUUAUAUUUUUCACGAAAGAAGAUUUAUCUGAAGACUUCACCAGCGCUUUGCUUGCAAAAUACACGCGGUUGAAAGUGCUGGAUUUUGAAUUUACUCGAUUAUGGGAUGUUCCUAAAAAUUUGGGGAGUUUAAUCCACUUAAAGUAUCUAAGCUUCCGGAAAACAUCCAUAAGCAGUCUUCCAAAAUCCAUUGGUGAGCUGCAGAAUUUGGAGACGUUAGAUGUACGAACAGGUGAGGAGAUUGAGAUACCAAAGGAGAUUACGAAGCUUAGAAAGCUACGCUGUCUUUUCGGUUACCGAAUAUCUACCAUUGAAGUGAAGGACAGUCUUGGAAAACUGACAUCGCUGGAAAAGAUCCAUGAAUUGGUAAUAGAUGAAGAUGGAGUGGUGAUUAGAGAGCUUGGAAAGCUAAAUCAAUUAAGGGAUCUGAGGCUUUCUAAUUUUUUGGGACGUCAUUCUGAUUCUCUUUCUUCUUCAAUAAACGAGAUGCAACUCUUGGAGCGAUUAGAUAUCUUCGUACAAUAUAUGACUGAACCAAUUGACUUGCACAUUACGUCGUCCUUGUCUAAGUUAAGGAAGCUUCACCUUGUUGGCACUUUAAAAGCGUUCCCAAGUUGGAUUCUACAGCUCCAAAGUCUUGUGAAAUUGUAUUUGAAAUAUUCCAUGUUGAAUAACAUUCCAUUGAAAUCUCUGGGAAAUAUCCCAAAUUUGUUGAUCCUCACUUUCGCCUCCAGAUCUUACAAAGGAGAAACUUUACAUUUUGAAAAUGGAGGAUUUGGGAAACUAAAGGAACUACAGUUCAAAGCUUUGUAUAAAUUGAGGUCCAUCGUUAUCGAUAGCGGGGCACUACAAUCCUUGGAAAAGCUUCAUAUGUUUCGUAUUCCAAAACUGAAGACAGUACCCUCUGGCAUUCAGUACUUACAGAAGCUUCAAGUUCUCGACGUCUUAUAUAUGCCGACUGAAUUUCAGCAAAGGAUUUACCCUGAAACCGGAGAAGACCAUUGGAUGAUCAAACAUGUGCCCGAUGUACUUCGUAUGUUGAAUUUCAAUGAUCAGCUGCUAUUGGACCUUGUGGUUAAGAUUGGGGUACGUUUCUAUACAUAUCAAGGAAGAACGCGAAAUUUUACGGGCUAUUGAAUGGAUGGAACGAGCUUCUCGCAAGAGUGCCAGUCAAGUUGUUGGUGGGGGAUGAACCAUUCGAGAUCAAAUUAUGGAGUUGAUCUUUCAGAUUCAUUUACUCCGAUCAGGUUGCAGAGUUGCGUUGACGGCAUUGGAUUGGAAAAUUUAUCAUUUUAAUAGGGAUGGGUAAAAAAUCUAAUUUUCUUGAUCCAAUCCACUUUUGUUCCAAUCCAAUCCAUUUUUAAUCC